This is a long non-coding RNA of Biomphalaria glabrata, 1288 nucleotides long. RefSeq lists it as uncharacterized. The record is from RefSeq and is a predicted model, not a curated record. Lineage: Eukaryota; Metazoa; Mollusca; Gastropoda; Planorbidae. The transcript is spliced from 2 exons.
UUUUUUGUAGUUUCAUCAAUAUGUGGAUUCCAUGAUAGUUUUUCAUUUAUUAUAACACCUAGGUAUUUUGCAUUUUUAGUCUGUGUUACUGGUUUGCCAUGAAUAAGAUAAGUGGAAUUAAUUUGUUUUAGUUUUUUUGUUACUCUUAACAACUGACAUUUUUCUGGGUGGAAAGACAUGCUCCAAUUUGAUUCCCAUUUCUGUAAUUCAUCUAAUUCUCUUUGUAAAAUAUCUGUGUCUUGUGUUGUUUUUAUUGUUCUAUAUAUUAUGCAAUCGUCUGUAAAUAAUCUGACUUUUGUUCCUGAACUAAUGCAAUUUGGUAAAUCAUUUAUGUAAAUUAAAAAUAGUAGUGGACCCAAGACUGUUCCUUGAGGUACAUCUGAGUUUACUGUUAUCGGUGUUGAUUUAGAGCCAUUUAUUAUUACAGUUUGUUCUCUCCCUAUCAGAAAAUCUUUAAUCCACUGAUGCAGUGGACCAUUAAUGCUGAAAUAUUUUAAUUUUUUAAGCAAACUAUGGUGGUGAACUUUGUCAAAAGCCUUAGAAAAAUCUAGUAAGAUAGCAUCUAUUUGUUCACUAUUAUCUAAACCUUUUGAAAAAUCAUCAAUUAGUCCUAUUAGUUGUGUUUCACAUGAUCUAUAUUUCCUAAAGCCAUGUUGGUAUGGUGUGAGGACAUUAUGUUUGUCUAAGUGGUUUAUGAUGUUGCUACAUAUUAUGUGUUCUAGGAUUUUACAUGUGAUGCUGGUAAGUGAUACUGGUCUGUAGUUUCCUGGGUCAGAUUUUUCUCCUUUUUUAAACAGGGGGGUGACAUUAGCUUCUUUGGUACUCUGCCCUGGUUAAGUGAAGCCUGAAAGAGUAUUUUGAACACUGGGGCUAGCUCAUUACUUAGUUCUUUGAGUAAUCUAGCUGGAAUACCAUCAGGUCCAGGCGCUUUAUUUGGUUUGGUGUUGGCUAAUAGUUUUUUAAUUCCAUUUUCUUGUACUACUAUAUCUUCUAUGUUGUCUACUUGGUUCAAAUUCAGUAAUAAGUCUUUGUCUCCUGGGGCUGAGAAUGCUGAUGCAAAGUAUUUUUUUAGGAUGUUUGCUUUAGUUUCAUUAUCAUUAUGUAUUAUGUUAUGUUCAUCUUUUAAUGGCGCUAUGCCUGUUGUUUCCAUUUUCUUAGACUUAAUGUAUGACCAUAGGUUUUUGUUGUUAUCUUUAGAUAUUACAUUGUUUAUGUAUUCACUCUGCAGCUGUCUGCUUACUUUUUGGGUUAAGUGUUUAAUUUUUAUAUACUUUUUGUAAACUCUUUC